Molecule: ribosomal RNA, 429 nt
Filed under: Bacteroidota bacterium
Lineage: Bacteria; Pseudomonadati; Bacteroidota
Description: Bacteroidetes bacterium partial 16S ribosomal RNA
Rfam family: Bacterial small subunit ribosomal RNA
Source: RNAcentral
UAGGGAAUCUUCGGCAAUGGGGGGAACCCUGACAGAGCAACGCCGCGUGAGUGAAGAAGGUUUUCGGAUCGUAAAGCUCUGUUGUUAAGGAAGAACGAGUGUGAGAAUGGAAAGUUCAUACUGUGACGGUACUUAACCAGAAAGGGACGGCUAACUACGUGCCAGCAGCCGCGGUAAUACGUAGGUCCCGAGCGCUGUCCGGAUUUAUUGGGCGUAAAGCGAGCGCAGGCGGUUAGAGAAGUCUGAAGUUAAAGGCAGUGGCUCAACCAUAGUAGGCUUUGGAAACUGUUUAACUUGAGUGCAGAAGGGGGGAGUGAAAUUCCAUGUGUAACAGUAAAAUGCGUAGAUAUAUGGAGGAACACCGGUGGCGAAAGCGGCUCUCUGGUCUGUAACUGACGCUGAGGCUCGAAAGCGUGGGGAGCGAACAGG